AGAGUUUGAUCAUGGCUCAGAAUCAACGCUGGCGGCGCGCUUAACACAUGCAAGUCGCACGAGAAAGCGGGAGCAAUCUCGCAAGUACAGUGGCGUACGGGUGAGUAACACGUGGGUAAUCUACCUUUUAGUGGGGAAUAACGCUGGGAAACCGGCGCUAAUACCGCAUAAUCUCGAGAGAGGAAAGCAGCAAUGUGCUGAAAGAGGAGCCCGCGGCCGAUUAGCUAGUUGGUAGGGUAAAAGCCUACCAAGGCAUAGAUCGGUAGCCGGCCUGAGAGGGCACACGGCCACACUGGCACUGAAACACGGGCCAGACUCCUACGGGAGGCAGCAGUGGGGAAUCUUGCACAAUGGGGGAAACCCUGAUGCAGCGACGCCGCGUGAGCGAUGAAGCCCUUCGGGGUGUAAAGCUCUUUCGGCAGGGACGAUAAUGACGGUACCUGCAGAAGCAGCUGCGGCUAACUACGUGCCAGCAGCCGCGGUAAUACGUAGGCAGCGAGCGUUGUUCGGAGUUACUGGGCGUAAAGGGUGUGUAGGCGGUUUUCUAAGUUUGGUGUGAAAUCUCCCGGCUCAACCGGGAGGGUGCGCCGAAAACUGGGAGACUCGAGUGCGGGAUGGGAGAGUAGAAUUCCUGGUGUAGCGGUGAAAUGCGUAGAUAUCAGGAGGAAUACCGGUGGUGCAGACGGCUCUCUGGACCGCAACUGACGCUGAGACACGAAAGCGUGGGUAGCAAACAGGAUUAGAUACCCUAGUAGUCC
This 758-nucleotide ribosomal RNA is filed under the name uncultured bacterium. Its description in RNAcentral is "bacterial SSU rRNA". It matches the Rfam family "Bacterial small subunit ribosomal RNA", at positions 8 to 796 of the family's 1533-position model. The record is from RNAcentral.